RNAcentral lists this ribosomal RNA (253 nucleotides) under uncultured bacterium. RNAcentral's name for it is "partial 16S ribosomal RNA". It matches the Rfam family "Bacterial small subunit ribosomal RNA", at positions 524 to 776 of the family's 1533-position model. The record is from RNAcentral.
UACGGAGGAUCCGAGCGUUAUCCGGAUUUAUUGGGUUUAAAGGGAGCGUAGGUGGAUUGUUAAGUCAGUUGUGAAAGUUUGCGGCUCAACCGUAAAAUUGCAGUUGAAACUGGCAGUCUUGAGUACAGUAGAGGUGGGCGGAAUUCCUAGUGUAGCGGUGAAAUGCGUAGAUAUUAGGAGGAACACCAGUGGCGAAGGCGGCUUACUGGACUGUAACUGACGUUGAGGCUCGAAAGCGUGGGGAGCAAACAGG